Long non-coding RNA from Sapajus apella (tufted capuchin), 247 nucleotides. RefSeq lists it as uncharacterized. The transcript is spliced from 3 exons. NCBI's taxonomy places the organism in Eukaryota, Metazoa, Chordata, Mammalia, Primates, Cebidae. The record is from RefSeq and is a predicted model, not a curated record.
AAUUUUUAAAAAAAAAAUAAAGAAUCUUCCUGUGAGCCCCUCUGUGAGUUCCUCAAACUAUCAACAUACUGAUUAAUACAGAACCUACUGACAUUGAAAACGACACCAAUCUGUUUCUGAAUCCUGAAGCUUUGCUGCUUGUCCUGCAUGAGGAACAUUUUAGGCUGGAUGCAUGGCAGCACAUGCCUGUAACCCCAGCAUUUUGGAAGGCUGAGGUGGGUGGAUCGCUUGAGGUCAGGAGUUCGAG